RNAcentral lists this ribosomal RNA (183 nucleotides) under uncultured Bacteroidota bacterium. RNAcentral describes it as "uncultured Bacteroidetes bacterium partial 16S ribosomal RNA". It matches the Rfam family "Bacterial small subunit ribosomal RNA", at positions 89 to 270 of the family's 1533-position model. Lineage: Bacteria; Pseudomonadati; Bacteroidota. The record is from RNAcentral.
UGGCGACCGGCAAACGGGUGCGGAACACGUACACAACCUCCCGAUAAGUUGGGGAAUAGCCCAUGAGAAAUUUGGAUUAAUACCCCGUAACAUUGCGAUGUGGUAUCACAUUGCAAUUAUAGCUUCGGCGCUUAUUGAUGGGUGUGCGUAUGAUUAGAUAGUUGGCGAGGUAACGGCUCACCA